RNAcentral lists this ribosomal RNA (328 nucleotides) under uncultured eukaryote. RNAcentral describes it as "partial 18S ribosomal RNA". It matches the Rfam family "Eukaryotic small subunit ribosomal RNA", at positions 1470 to 1796 of the family's 1831-position model. The record is from RNAcentral.
CCCUUAGAUGUCCUGGGCCGCACGCGCGCUACACUGAGUGUCUGAGAUACGAGUCUGCCUAGCCGGCGAGGUCUAGGUAAUCGCUGAAAGACGCAUCAUGCUUGGGAUAGAUUAUUGCAGAUAUUAAUCUUGAACGAGGAAUUCCUAGUAAGCGCAAGUCAACAGCUUGCGUUGAUUACGUCCCUGCCCUUUGUACACACCGCCCGUCGCUACUACUGAUUGGAUGUUAAAGCGAGGUUCUCGAACUGCUAGCGACUUAGCUUCGGUGAGGUCGCCGUGUGGGAAGUGAACCUAGCUUUGGUGUCUAGAGGAAGUAAAAGUCGUAUCA